This 444-nucleotide ribosomal RNA is filed under the name Aleiodes sp. BCLDQ01216. RNAcentral's name for it is "LSU rRNA". Lineage: Eukaryota; Metazoa; Arthropoda; Insecta; Hymenoptera; Braconidae. The record is from RNAcentral.
CCUGAGAAACCCAAAAGAUCGAAUGGGGAGAUUCAUCGUCAGCUCAUUUUGUAUAUGUAUAAGUUAUGAUGCGGGUUACUACUUGUAGUAUUGCCUGCACAUUCUUGUAUAUUUAGUUGCAAGAUGUUGUCGGCGUGCACUUCUCCCCUAGUAGGACGUCGCGACCUGUUGGGUGUCGGUCUACGACCUAAGUGAUAGUCUUUAAUGUAAUUUAAAAAGCAUUAAAGAUCCUUGGUGUUUUCUGACCGGCUACUUGGCAGUAUUCGUACGGUAUUUAGCCGCUAAAUUUAUUAAGCGUCCAUAUCCGUCACAAGCAAGGCUAAUUUACUGAUAGUACGGACAUAGUGCCGUCGUUGGUAUUGGCCAGCUGUUGGUUGUAUGGUAUUCUAGGACUGGCUAAAAUWAUUACCGGUCGGCGAUGCUACUGCUUUGGGUACUUUCAGG